This 342-nucleotide ribosomal RNA is filed under the name uncultured eukaryote. RNAcentral describes it as "SSU rRNA". It matches the Rfam family "Eukaryotic small subunit ribosomal RNA", at positions 592 to 938 of the family's 1831-position model. The record is from RNAcentral.
CAAUAGCGUAUAUUAAAGUUGUUGCGGUUAAAGCUCGUAGUUGGAUUUCUGCUGAGGACGACCGGUCCGCCUCUGGUGAGUAUCUGGCUUGGCCUUGGCAUCUUCUUGGAGAACGUAGCUGCACUUGACUGUGUGGUGCGGUAUCCAGGACUUUUACUUUUGAGGAAAUUAGAGUGUUUCAAGCAGGCACACGCCUUGAAUACAUUAGCAUGGAAUAAUAAGAUAGGACCUUGGUUCUAUUUUGUUGGUUUCUAGGGCUGAGGUAAUGAUUAAUAGGGGAUAGUUUGGGGGCGAUUCGUAUUUAACUGUCAGAGGUGGAAUUCUCGGAUUUGUUAAAGACUA